Molecule: unclassified non-coding RNA, 253 nt
Filed under: uncultured Bacillaceae bacterium
Lineage: Bacteria; Bacillati; Bacillota; Bacilli; Caryophanales; Bacillaceae
Description: contains 16S-23S intergenic spacer region
Rfam family: Bacterial small subunit ribosomal RNA
Source: RNAcentral
UACGUAGGUGGCAAGCGUUGUCCGGAAUUAUUGGGCGUAGAGCGCGCGCAGGCGGUCUCUUAAGUCUGAUGUGAAAGCCCCCGGCUCAACCGGGGAGGGUCAUUGGAAACUGGGAGGCUUGAGUGCAGAAGAGGAGGGUGGAAUUCCACGUGUAGCGGUGAAAUGCGUAGAGAUGUGGAGGAACACCAGUGGCGAAGGCGACUUUCUGGUCUGUAACUGACGCUGAGGCGCGGAAGCGUGGGGAGCAAACAGG